This 253-nucleotide ribosomal RNA is filed under the name uncultured bacterium. RNAcentral's name for it is "partial 16S ribosomal RNA". It matches the Rfam family "Bacterial small subunit ribosomal RNA", at positions 524 to 776 of the family's 1533-position model. The record is from RNAcentral.
UACGAAGGGUGCAAACGUUGCUCGGAAUUAUUGGGCGUAAAGCGCACGUAGGCGGCCUUGUAAGUCGGAUGUGAAAUCCCUCGGCUUAACCGAGGACGUGCAUCCGAAACUGUGAGGCUCGAGUAUGGAAGAGGGUCGCAGAAUUCCCGGUGUAGUGGUGGAAUGCGUAGAUAUCGGGGGGAAUACCAGUGGCGAAAGCGGCACCCUAGCAUUAGCCUGACGCUCAUGUGCGAAAGCGUGGGGAGCGAACGGG